AGUGAACGCUGGCGGUAGGCCUAACACAUGCAAGUCGAACGGCAGCACAGUAAGAGCUUGCUCUUACGGGUGGCGAGUGGAGGACGGGUGAGGAAUACAUAGGAAUCUACUUUUUCGUGGGGGAUAACGUAGGAAAACUUACGCUAAUACUGCAUACGACCUACGGGUGAAAGCAGGGGAUCUUCGGACUUUGCGCGAUUGAAUGAGCCGAUGUCGGAUUAGCGAGUUGGCGGGGUAAAGGCCCACCAAGGGGACGCUCCGUAGCGGGUCUGAGAUGAGGGUCAGCGCCACUGGAACUGGGACACGGUGCAGACUCGUACGGGAGGCAGCAGUGCGGAAUCUUCGAGAGUGAGCGGAAGCCUGAUCCGGGCAUACCGCGUGGGUGUAAAGGGCCUUCGGGUCGUAAAGGCCGUUGGUUUUGAAAGAAUAGCAGCAGGUUAUAACCGCGCUGUUCUGACGGUACCCUAUGAAUAAGCGCCGGCUAACUUCGUG
This 492-nucleotide ribosomal RNA is filed under the name uncultured bacterium. RNAcentral describes it as "partial 16S ribosomal RNA". It matches the Rfam family "Bacterial small subunit ribosomal RNA", at positions 29 to 507 of the family's 1533-position model. The record is from RNAcentral.